UUACUUCCACAGCACACAUACUAACACUGGAAUGAUGCAGAAAAGAUUAGCAUGGAUCCUGUGCAAAGAUGCCACGUAAAUUAGUGAAGCACUCCAUAUUUUU
Molecule: small nuclear RNA, 103 nt
Organism: Rhinolophus ferrumequinum (greater horseshoe bat)
Lineage: Eukaryota; Metazoa; Chordata; Mammalia; Chiroptera; Rhinolophidae
Source: Ensembl